This 492-nucleotide ribosomal RNA is filed under the name uncultured bacterium. RNAcentral's name for it is "partial 16S ribosomal RNA". It matches the Rfam family "Bacterial small subunit ribosomal RNA", at positions 29 to 507 of the family's 1533-position model. The record is from RNAcentral.
AGUGAACGCUGGCGGUAGGCCUAACACAUGCAAGUCGAACGGCAGCACAGUAAGAGCUUGCUCUUACGGGUGGCGAGUGGCGGACGGGUGAGGAAUACAUCGGAAUCUACUUUUUCGUGGGGGAUAACGUAGGGAAACUUACGCUAAUACCGCAUACGACCUACGGGUGAAAGCAGGGGAUCUUCGGACCUUGCGCGAUUGAAUGAGCCGAGGUCGGAUUAGCUAGUUGGCGGGGUAAAGGCCCACCAAGGCGACGAUCCGUAGCUGGUCUGAGAGGAUGAUCAGCCACACGGGAAGUGAGACACGGUCCAGACUCCGACGGGAGGCAGCAGUGGGGAAUAUUGGACGAUGGGCGCAAGCCUAAUCCAGCCAUACCGCGUGGGUGAAGAAGGCGUUCGGGUUGUAAAGCCAUGUUGUUGGGAAAGAAAAGCAGCAGGUUAAUACCCCGCGGUUCUGACGGUACCCAAAGAAUAAGCACCGGCUAACUUCGUG